ACGAAGACUGCGCGGCGGAACUCUCCGGAGGGAAGAUGCGCAGGACUGAGUGGCGGACGGGUGAGUAACGCGUGGGUAACCUGCCCUGUACAGGGGGACAACAGCUGGAAACGGCUGCUAAUACCGCAUAAGCCUACAGUGCCGCAUGGUACAGCAGGAAAAACUCCGGUGGUACAGGAUGGGCCCGCGUCUGAUUAGUUAGUUGGCAGGGUAACGGCCUACCAAGACAACGAUCAGUAGCCGGCUUGAGAGAGUGGACGGCCACAUUGGGACUGAGACACGGCCCAAACUCCUACGGGAGGCAGCAGUGGGGAAUAUUGCACAAUGGGGGGAACCCUGAUGCAGCAACGCCGCGUGAGUGAAGAAGUAUUUCGGUAUGUAAAGCUCUAUCAGCAGGGAAGAAAAUGACGGUACCUGACUAAGAAGCUCCGGCUAAAUACGUGCCAGCAGCCGCGGUAAUACGUAUGGAGCAAGCGUUAUCCGGAUUUACUGGGUGUAAAGGGAGCGCAGGCGGUACGGCAAGUCCGAUGUGAAAGCCCGGGGCUCAACCCCGGGACUGCAUUGGAAACUGCCGCACUAGAGUGCCGGAGAGGUAAGUGGAAUUCCUAGUGUAGCGGUGAAAUGCGUAGAUAUUAGGAAGAACACCAGUGGCGAAGGCGGCUUACUGGACGGUAACUGACGCUGAGGCUCGAAAGCGUGGGGAGCACACAAAGUUAGAUACCCUGGUAGUCCACGCCGUAA
This 741-nucleotide ribosomal RNA is filed under the name uncultured bacterium. Its description in RNAcentral is "bacterial SSU rRNA". It matches the Rfam family "Bacterial small subunit ribosomal RNA", at positions 62 to 805 of the family's 1533-position model. The record is from RNAcentral.